Lathyrus oleraceus (garden pea) is the source of this 107-nucleotide small nucleolar RNA. The record is from RefSeq and is a predicted model, not a curated record. Lineage: Eukaryota; Viridiplantae; Streptophyta; Magnoliopsida; Fabales; Fabaceae.
AUAUUAUGAUUUGGGCACUUGUGGAGUAACAACUUGAAUCUUUCCCAUGUAUCAGAGAACGAUUCAACAUCUUUCUGCUCAAAACUGGUAAUUGCAACUUUUCUUUC